GAGUAAAAUGAUGGCACUCACCUUUUGGGACUGACCUGAAAUGAAAAGAAUACUCAUUC
This 59-nucleotide small nucleolar RNA is filed under the name Otolemur garnettii (small-eared galago). Its description in RNAcentral is "Small nucleolar RNA SNORD2". It matches the Rfam family "Small nucleolar RNA SNORD2", at positions 1 to 59 of the family's 69-position model. The record is from Rfam by way of RNAcentral. Lineage: Eukaryota; Metazoa; Chordata; Mammalia; Primates; Galagidae.